RNAcentral lists this ribosomal RNA (383 nucleotides) under uncultured eukaryote. RNAcentral's name for it is "partial 18S ribosomal RNA". It matches the Rfam family "Eukaryotic small subunit ribosomal RNA", at positions 592 to 976 of the family's 1831-position model. The record is from RNAcentral.
CAAUAGCGUAUAUUAAAGUUGUUGCAGUUAAAAAGCUCGUAGUUGGAUUUCUGGUGGGAGCGAUCGGUCUGGCGCUUAGCGCGAGUACUUGCAUCGUCUCCGGCCAUCCUUGGGGAGAGUCUGUCUGGCAUUAGGUUGUCGGGCAAAGGAUCCUCAUCGUUUACUGUGAAAAAAUUAGAGUGUUCAAAGCAGGCUUAUGCCGUUGAAUAUAUUAGCAUGGAAUAAUAAGAUAGGACUUUGGUACUAUUUUGUUGGUUUGCGCACCAAAGUAAUGAUUAAUAGGGACAGUUGGGGGUAUUCGUAUUCCGUUGUCAGAGGUGAAAUUCUUGGAUUUACGGAAGACGAACUACUGCGAAAGCAUUUACCAAGGAUGUUUUCAUUAA